GAUGAACGCUGGCGGCGUGCCUAAUACAUGCAAGUCGAGCGAACAGACGAGGAGCUUGCUCCUCGGACGUUAGCGGCGGACGGGUGAGUAACACGUGGAUAACCUACCUAUAGGACUGGGAUAACUUCGGGAAACCGGAGCUAAUACCGGAUAAUAUAUUGAACCGCAUGGUUCAAUAGUGAAAGUCGGUUUUGCUGUCACUUAUAGAUGGUUCCGCGCCGCAUUAGCUAGUUGGUAAGGUAACGGCUUACCAAGGCAACGAUGCGUAGCCGACCUGAGAGGGUGAUCGGCCACACUGGAACUGAGACACGGUCCAGACUCCUACGGGAGGCAGCAGUAGGGAAUCUUCCGCAAUGGGCGAAAGCCUGACGGAGCAACGCCGCGUGAGUGAUGAAGGUCUUCGGAUCGUAAAACUCUGUUAUUAGGGAAGAACAAAUGUGUAAGUAACUAUGCACGUCUUGACGGUACCUAAUCAGAAAGCCACGGCUAACUACGUG
This 497-nucleotide ribosomal RNA is filed under the name uncultured bacterium. RNAcentral describes it as "partial 16S ribosomal RNA". It matches the Rfam family "Bacterial small subunit ribosomal RNA", at positions 28 to 507 of the family's 1533-position model. The record is from RNAcentral.